RNAcentral lists this long non-coding RNA (1176 nucleotides) under Rattus norvegicus (Norway rat). RNAcentral describes it as "long non-coding RNA NONRATT027659". Lineage: Eukaryota; Metazoa; Chordata; Mammalia; Rodentia; Muridae. The record is from RNAcentral.
CUCUCUGAAGCAUUUUUCAUUUUCUAUUUCGGUUUCAAAGUAUUUGGCCAGUGCCAGGUAACAAGCCCACACCCCAGACCAUCCUUAGAUAACUGCUCCAUGAGUCUCCCCUUCCCUGAUUUAUGACUAGUGCAGACCAUAAUAGAACGCUAAAAGCACUGUGUUAUGUCCUUACCUUACAUAGUAUUCAUUCGUGGGAAGUUCUUAAGCCCAUUUGAAAGAAGACUAGCCAGCAGUGCACGUGGUUACAACCGCUAUGUCCACCGUCUGUGUAUGUGCCUCUGUGUACAUCUCUCUGUAUGAGUACAUAACAGUGGCAUUCAAAGGCUGUCAUCCAGUCAAGGGACUCUGCAGACCUUGUAUGCUCUACCCAAGACCAAAGCUAAAGAGGUUUACGAAUGGCUGCAGGACCUGAAGAUUGCGUUGCAGCCUUGAUAUGCAGUUUGGAAACUGUUUAACGGCGCGAACCAAAUUUCUGCUAAUGGGAAGAAGGGAAAACUCCACAAAAGCUGACAAAGCAGGAAGAACAGGAUGACUGAGCUUUAGAUUAAAACUCCCGGGGGCGUCUGAACUCUUAUGGCUGGUGGUGGAAGUGUCAGUUUCCACGACACGGCCAAGUGAUCAGAUGCGUGCUGCGUAGGUAAGACAGAGACCGUCGCCUGCUUUGUUUUUCCUAAUGGGAAUGGUGCUGGGCCACUGGGCCAAAGUUUUGCUUCCUAAGAAUUUUAUUUCAUUGUUAUUUUUGUAAUUUUCUGUGAAGUAUUUACAUGAUAACCUGAUGAAUCAAACCCAGCAGCUUCUUUAGGUAUACUUGAUUUUUGCACGUAUCGAAAUGGCUAGGAUUUCUGACCGAUUCUGAGUCUUUGGGGUCUUUUUCUUCUGGUUUAAAAUUGUUGUGUCAAGAAGAAGAAAUUACAGCUUCAGAAGCACACAGUGCUUAGCCUGCACCACAGACAGCACCUCUAACACCAGAAAAGGCCAAAAAUGAGUCUCUGCAGACGAGACCGCCAUUGUGCAUAAAUGAAAUUAUCCUAUCUGCACCUCAGGACUUCCUUAAUUGCUCAAAAAAAAAAAAAGUCCCAUAUGCAACAAAAGUAAACUUUCAUUUGUUUAACGGAGUUUAAAGAAAUGCAGCGUGUGCAUUUUAAUUAGAAGUGACUAGAAAGAGCUUGAAUA